AACGGUAAUGGAGGCUUCUAAAUUGCUGUGGACUGCUACGAAUUGGGUGAUAGAGAGGAAUCACGAGAAGGAGAAGAUGAAGAAAGAGAUGGAGAGGAAAGUAGAGGAAAUAAAGAAGCUUGGAGAGAAAGUAAGAGAAGAUGAAAAAGAGAAGGAGAGGAAAGAGGAGGAAAUAAAGAAGCUUGGAGAGAAAGUAAGAGAAGAUGAAAAGGAGAAGGAGAGGAAAGAAGAGGAAAUAAAGAAGCUUGGAGAAAAAGUAAGAGAGGAUGAAAAGGAGAAGGAGAAAAAAGAAGAGGAGAUAAAGAAGCUUGGAGAAAAAUUAAGGGAAGAUGAAAAGGAGAAGGAGAGGAUGAAGGAGACUUUGGUUGGACUUGGAGAAGAGAAAAGAGAAGCAAUAAGGCAAUUAU
This 407-nucleotide long non-coding RNA is filed under the name Brassica rapa (field mustard). RNAcentral describes it as "long non-coding RNA (BRAP_LNC002886)". Lineage: Eukaryota; Viridiplantae; Streptophyta; Magnoliopsida; Brassicales; Brassicaceae. The record is from RNAcentral.